UACGUAGGGUGCGAGCGUUGUCCGGAUUUAUUGGGUUUAAAGGGUGCGUAGGCGGCCUUAUAAGUCAGUGGUGAAAUACUCCAGCUUAACUGGAGGGGUGCCAUUGAUACUGCAAGGCUUGAGUGGAGUCGAGGUAGGCGGAAUUGACGGUGUAGCGGUGAAAUGCUUAGAUAUCGUCAAGAACACCGAUAGUGUAGACAGCUUACUAGGCUCAUACUGACGCUGAGGCACGAAAGUGUGGGGAUCAAACAGG
Molecule: ribosomal RNA, 253 nt
Filed under: uncultured bacterium
Lineage: Bacteria
Description: partial 16S ribosomal RNA
Rfam family: Bacterial small subunit ribosomal RNA
Source: RNAcentral